Rosa chinensis is the source of this 453-nucleotide long non-coding RNA. RefSeq lists it as uncharacterized. The record is from RefSeq and is a predicted model, not a curated record. The transcript has 2 exons. NCBI's taxonomy places the organism in Eukaryota, Viridiplantae, Streptophyta, Magnoliopsida, Rosales, Rosaceae.
ACAACGCCUAAACUCAAAGCAUUGUCCCGUCUCUUCAUCGUCUUCCUCACCCCCAUAUUCUCCUCCAUCUGAUACACCAGCCACCGCCUUAGGAAAGUACAAAGGACAGAGCCGCCGCUAUGGGUAAGUAGGAGGUGUCAACAGCCUUGGAAAUCAAGUUUCAAAUUUGGUGAUUCCCCAAAGCUAUGAAGAUAGAGCUGGAACCCUAGAAUCAGGAGCUGGAACUCUAGAAAUCUGGAGGUGGCAAGUCUAGUACCUAUAUGGGUGACAAAUAAAUAAGUUUGAAGUUAUUUUACUGCAAGGGUGUUUUUAAUAAUGUAAUAUACAUGUGUGUUUUUGUUAAUCAUGUUUGGGUCCUAGACAAGAACUUGGAUUUUAGUUGACCUUUUGUUGUAAAUGUUGUUGUAAAACCCUCUUGUAAUAAAGGUUGUGUUUCAAUUUCGAAAACUUGUC